AAACAAACUUUCUUUUCUUCUCUCUUGAUAUUGAGAUUUUCCACAAUACUUGGAUUUUUAAAUAAAGAGAAGGAUGGCUCUAUUCUAUCCACUUUGUCGUCACUCACAAGCAAGGUUUAAAAUUGCAGUGCAGUCUCCAAUUAAAUUCAAACUUAUUUGUAUUUACUUGGUCAAAAUUUCUUGAAAUUAUAACAUUCUGUGUUACAUGCAUGAAUUGAAUGCUACUAGCUUCCAAUUACGAACCAGUGAGUUCUACUAAGUUAAAGACAGAAAAGUGUACACACUCCAGCUUCAAACAGAAAAGAGAAUUAAAUGCAACAUGUCAGGGCUUUUUGUGUGGACCCAUACAUACUCUUCUUCUUCGUAUCAAAAAAAGCUUAGCCCUUUCAUUUGUGACACGUACAGGCAAUGCUCCUCUUUCUUUCAAUGCCCUUCCAUAUAGGAUGGGGCAUGGCUUGUAAGCUCAGUGCUUCCUGACUGUCCCAGCAAUGCAUCAUGCAUGC
This 503-nucleotide long non-coding RNA is filed under the name Medicago truncatula (barrel medic). RNAcentral's name for it is "long non-coding RNA (MTRU_LNC006612)". Lineage: Eukaryota; Viridiplantae; Streptophyta; Magnoliopsida; Fabales; Fabaceae. The record is from RNAcentral.